UCCAUGAAAUACCAAGCAUUCGUCUCCAG
This 29-nucleotide small RNA is filed under the name Bombyx mori (domestic silkworm). RNAcentral's name for it is "ovarian small RNA-26978". Lineage: Eukaryota; Metazoa; Arthropoda; Insecta; Lepidoptera; Bombycidae. The record is from RNAcentral.